RNAcentral lists this ribosomal RNA (499 nucleotides) under uncultured bacterium. RNAcentral's name for it is "bacterial SSU rRNA". It matches the Rfam family "Bacterial small subunit ribosomal RNA", at positions 17 to 507 of the family's 1533-position model. The record is from RNAcentral.
UCCUGGCUCAGAUUGAACGCUGGCGGCAUGCUUUACACAUGCAAGUCGAACGGCAGCACGGGUGCUUGCACCUGGUGGCGAGUGGCGGACGGGUGAGUAACGCGUGGGAAUCUACCCUAGAGCGGGGGACAACCCGGGGAAACCCGGGCUAAUACCGCAUACGUCCUACGGGAGAAAGAGGGCCUCUGCUUGCACGCUCUCACUCCAGGAUGAGCCCACGUCCGAUUAGCUAGUUGGUAGGGUAAAGGCCUACCAAGGCCACGAUCGGUAGCUGGUCUGAGAGGAUGAUCAGCCACACUGGGACUGAGACACGGCCCAGACUCCUACGGGAGGCAGCAGUGGGGAAUAUUGGACAAUGGGCGCAAGCCUGAUCCAGCAAUGCCGCGUGUGUGAAGAAGGCCUGCGGGUUGUAAAGCACUUUCAGUGGGGAAGAACAGAUUCGGGUCAAUACCCCGGAGCCCUGACGUUACCCACAGAAGAAGCACCGGCUAACUCCGUG